UAUUUGUCUCUACAGUGUUAAAUCCAGUGUUUUAUUUUGAUUCUACAUUCAUUUUGAUUUUACUUUUGACUUUCAUUCUACGUUCAUUUUGAUUGAGUUGUUUUGAGGAUUUUGCGGGAGGACUCCCUUUGGAAUUGCCGAAUGCUGUUGUUUGUCGGGUGGAUGCCUUGGAAGCAGAGUUAACUGCUACUAAAAAGAUCUUUGCAAAAUAUCCAUAUAUGGAUCAGUGCCAUGGACUCUUCUCAACCUAUGGACCUCAAGAUCUCACACAAUUGGUGCGGCUCGAAUGGAUCUGUACCAGAGCCUCUUGUGCAGCAGUAUGGUGGCUCUGCAGCUCACAACACUGCAGAAAUUACAAAGGAGCUUAUUUGUUGGAGAUUUGAAGAGUAAAACUUAGCGGCGCUGUACCGCUGGAAGUGGUAAUUGCUAAUCAGGGAUAGAGUGAGCGAAUCACAAGUCAACCAAGUCUUGAAUGAUGAAUUGAGCCAGAUCAUUGAGUUCCAAUUUCAGUUGUUGCUUCUUUUAGAAAAAUGAAAAGGCUCGUUUGAAACAAUUUGUCAAUAGCGACUGCAUUGAGGGAAUCUUCCCUCCUUGCCAAAUUGGAUUGUUCAUCCCCGUGGUCAUAGGACACUUGCAUGAUGACCCCCGUGGUGAAAAAACUAGGAAUUAAACCCCUGUGGUCUAGAAUGUUAGCAAAUUUAAUCCAAAAGUUGUGAGUUCGAAUGGGAAGGUGUAACAUAUUCAUCCUCUUUCAUUAAUUGAAAACAGGGAUCCAAAGUGCACUAUUUUGGUAGAGAACCUACCUGAGGAUCACUAAGUGGAGAACCUUAAGAGUAUACUUGGUGAAGAUGGAAAAGAUAACAAUUACUGAGGCUCAAGCAUUACGAGGAGCAUGUCACUCUUAAAAAACAUGAUUGGAGGUGUUCAAGAAAAUGUGAAGUCUUUUAAGUGGCAAUUUCCUUCAAAUUUGGUGCCUGUUUCGUACUUUGACGGCUAGUUUCAUAUUUUUUAGUAUAGCUCAUUGGUUUUAGACCUUAUUUUUUUGAAUAUGUGAUUAGUUAUGGAAGACUAUAGCAAAACUGCAAUUUUGUGUAGCCUAUUAACUAUAUAUAUAUUUGGGUGCCCAGAUUAAUGGCCCUUUUUAAAAAAAAAAAAAUAUUACAAUAUGGCCACCAAUGUAUAAAAAUUAUAUAAUAUUUCAAAGGUGUAACUAUUCAUUGUGCUACCAUUAUCUAAUUGGUGGUGCUUGUAACAAUAGAGUCCUCUACAUAGGACAUGUUCUCUAAUUUAAUGGCUGCUUGGUGGUCAUUGAGGUUUGCUAUCAAUGAGUGUAACCACAAUUGACAAUAGACACCAAUGAAAGUGGUGUCUUUUAACCAAAUUUCUAGUGCAAAUUCCAUGAAUAUUCGUUUCACUGCUUAUC
Malus domestica (apple) is the source of this 1423-nucleotide non-coding RNA. Lineage: Eukaryota; Viridiplantae; Streptophyta; Magnoliopsida; Rosales; Rosaceae. The record is from RefSeq and is a predicted model, not a curated record.